Molecule: long non-coding RNA, 5884 nt
Organism: Taeniopygia guttata (zebra finch)
Lineage: Eukaryota; Metazoa; Chordata; Aves; Passeriformes; Estrildidae
Source: Ensembl
UUCAUUCAUGUACUGUCACUUGAGAUGGUUACAGCUGUGACAAUUGGUACAGGGAAGUUUGAGAGCCUCCCUUAACAUGUUCUCCCUAGAUGUCUCAUCCCUGCACCCCAUCCUCCUUGCUACACUUUGGUCUUCAUCCACCAACUAGCCUACCAUAAGUUGUUCCUUUAAAUACUUUUUCUAAAAUGAAAUGAAAUGUAUUUAAUAUGACUUUUCCCUCAAAAUGCAUUUUUUACAUUUUUAAAUUUUUAAAAUUAGUAUAAACUGGCACUGAUGUCUACAGUACUAUGACAAUUCAUACUAUCCACAUGCUGGAACCUGUAUUUAUUUAAGCUUUUAAACAUAAUUUGAAUCUAGACAAGAAAAUAUGUAUCUCCUUGGAUUUACCAAGUGUUGGAUGUUUAAGGCUUAAAGAUAAACUUUUUAAUGGAUUCAGGAGCAUUACUUUGUGUAAAAUUUAAAAAUUUUGGUUACAAAUAGUUCCUCAUCCUUGUCUUAUUGCAUUUACAUAUAAAUGCAUUCAAAAAUUUUCCCCUGUAAAUGUGUUAUCUUCAGGUAAACCAAUUCAACUAUGUUGUAAACUAUUGGUCAUACAAAGAUUUGAUUUUGUGAAUAGCACUUUAAAUAUUAUCAUUGGCUGCCAAAUGAAACCUAUGAAUGAUUCUUUCACCACACAUGCAUUAAGUAAUCCUUGUUUAAAAAGAGCUUAUGACACAUGUUAGAAAAACCCUCAGUUUUUAAAAUUUUACUUAGUAGAUCAAACAACCUCUUUUUCAGAAUCUUCAGCUUCUUUCCUUUUACAUAACUUUCUUCACCAUACAAAUCUGUUGGUACAAUGAUAUCAAAAUUGUGAACUCAAACUAUUAAAUUUUAAAUAUUUAUUGUAUUAUGGCAGAUUGAUUAUAUUAAAUAGAAGCACAAUGAGAAUGUUCAUCUCAUCCAGCUUUAUAAUCUUUUGUGUUGUUGUACAAAUAAUUAUGAUUGAGUUAUUUUUUUGGAUACAUUUUGUCAUUUACCAAGACAAAAAGAAUACUCUUGAACAAUUCAUGUGACCUAUAUAAGGUAUCUAUUUUAGGAAGAAGCAAACAAUUUGUUAAAGAUAAUAUAUACUAUAAAGGGAAUUGAAGGAUGAAAAAAAAUCUUGACUAGAUGCAGAUAUUUAUAGUGCAGAUGACUAGUCUGACUAAGUCACUUUAGGCUUUCUUUCUGAUUAAUGAAGAUAAAGAGGCAGUGGUAAGACAGUAAAAAAACAUCCCUCUGGGUCAAACAGACAUAGAGGACACUACCAUCAAUUCCACAGCCAGUGCAGAUACAAUGUCUGAAAGAAUCAGCUUGGUUUUUGGCCUUUGGGGCACUUACUGUGAAAUAAAGCCAUAUCAGGUACAUACAUGUGUUAUGUAGGCUCAUGUAUGUUACGAUUAGAACUGACCUUCUACUAGAAUCCUUGCAAAAAAGCAUAGAGAUCUUUGCCAAUGUUUGCCUAUUCUUAAGUUUCUCUUGCCUUUACCUGACAUGGGCUGGGAAAGAGAAACUUCCUUGGGACAUGACACACGGUUCUACCUCUUUGUGUUCAGGCAACUGGAUUAAGUCAUGGGGAUGAGAUUCAAUUCAAGAGAAAAUAUUUUAUGUUAGGUGAGUACACAUAGUCAAGAUGAUUAAAUUUUCUUUGCUUGGUAUUUUUAUUUUUUUUUUAAUUAAGAGUGAUCUAAAGAACAAAGUCAAUGAAACUUCUAAAGGUGCAAUGAAGCAACCUUAACAUAGAUGUCAGGAGCCAUUUAAUAUAACAAAGCCAUUCAUCCUGUCUUCCAGAUUCUUCUCAAAGAGGAUAUAGAUUUAAUAUAGGUCUUAAUCAUAGCUUCUAAGCUCAUAUAUAUUUCUCAUAUACCAGAAGACCUUCAAAAUGCAGGUUUGAUGAACCAAGGUCCUAAUCUCUACUGACAAUAUUGUAAAUUUAGAUACUUAGCUUAGAGUUUUUGUUCUCUGUUAAGUGUGUUUUACUUGUAGACUGAAACUAGAGCUAAACUACUAUGAAAUCCACACACCUCUAAGCUAUGUCAGUGUUCACUUCUUUACUGACGCAGUAAUCAUGUCACAGGAGAAGCACUUCCAUUCUGUCUCUAGGGGUCCACAUAAUGUAUAAUAUACUUACAGUAGGACUGUCUUUGACUGGGCCUAUAUUACUAGAGUAAUAUAUGGUUAUGGCACAGAAAUUAUUCACUGAGGUCAUCGAGCUCUUGCAUUUCAGAAAGCAAAUAUUUCCUUUUAUUCACAGGCAAUUUAUCAUCUGAAACAGAAUGCAGACCAAAAAAAAACUCUAGGUCAAGUCAUGUGUCUUUCUUGCAAGGUUCUUGAUAACCUAUUUAUUGAGUGUAUCUCUAUGUGAUUUGCAGCUUUAUCUGGAAGUCUUUAAACAAAUAGUAAAGAUUUUUUGUUGUUGUUGUUCUAAUAUUCAUCUAGUAAGACAAGUCUAGGUAAUAGUGUCCUAAGCUUAGUUCAGCGAGUCUAGUAAGCUUACUAAGGCAAAUAGGGACAGACUGAGGGUUAGCAGACGCUAUAUAAGUGUACUGUAAACAUCAGUACAUGCACUAAACUAAAAUAUUUUCAGUUAUUUGUUAGAUAUUAGAUAGUUCUUUAGUUAUUUGUUAGAUAUUUAUUUUAUGCUAACCUGAAUUCUAGGAAUAGUGUUCCAAUAUGUAGAGCUACUGAAGGUUCUUCACUUCUUGUAAGGUUAAGAGCUUUUCAUUCAGAAACACAGAACCAUGCCAUGUCCCUCCAGGAUCUCCUAAGUAAGCCUGUAAACAAUUUUUCUACAUGCUUAUUAACCAAAACUAAAACAAGCAAACAGAAAAAACCCAAAAUCCAAAUCCUCAAAUUCAAAAAAACCCACCAAACUUAUUAUUAUCAAUGGAAUUUUCACUUACAUUUUAAGUAAAGGCCGAGGAAGAAAAAAUAAAGAACAAGAAAGAACAUCAGAGUGCUAAACUCAGCAACCAGUAGUGCCUGAAACAAAAUCUCAAAUGGAUCAGCUACUUGAGUUAUGUCAAGACUUAUUUUAUGUAAAUAAAAUAUUAGAUUCCUUCUAGUCAAAAACUGAUAAGAACUUCCAGAGAAUGAGUUUAUUUUUCUUAAAAUGGUGAUCAAAAUAAAGCUAGACAUCUAGGAAACCUCUUUAAUUCAGGAAAGACAGAGAUCAGAAAUCUGAAAUUAGAUUUUUUUCCAAUAAAGUCUUAUUUUAGUUAGAGAAAACCAGCAUUUUGGAUUAAUCUCUCCCUCUGUUUGUUAUUCAGAGAACAUAAGUACUAAAGCCUUAGGACUUUAUGCUUUGCUUUUCAGGUAUUAGAGAGCUGUUGUGCUGUUCUCAAAAGGGUAGCACUUAUCCUAGACAUAGUAAACUAGUUAUAAUAGAGAAAAGAAAACUAACAAUUCAGGAAUUGCUUCACAACCAGGCCAUAUAUAAAGUAACAAUUUAAUAUGUUGUUAAAAAACAUUAAUAGGAAAAAAUGUAUUUGUAAGCAAAUUCUUUGUGUGCAGAAACCUCAAUUUCUCUUGAUUUCUAAUCAGCUCUUUUGAAAGAGCUUGCUCUGUAGAUUUGUAAUACACUCUCUAAGAAGAAAACACAAAAUGGAGACACAUUCAUGCUUGUUUGAACAAGCACUAGUAAAAAUUUCAACUAUACUUUGUGACAUUCAGUUGGAGUGUUCUGGCUCUCUUGCUCAUAGUGUUGCUCUAUAAUCAGGGUCAUCUCUUUCUUGAUUCAGAGAACUGAUUUUAUCAACUUGAUUUACUUUCUGUUCUACCUCAAAUAUACUAAGUUACUCCAGGAUAAUCUAAGACAAAAUUUAUUCCUGUCAAUUAAGCAACAAUAGAAUGAAUUUUAAAAUAUUCCAAAGAAAUAUAACUGAAAAACCCCAACCCAGAGAUAGUGAAAAAUCCUAACAGUGUUAAACAGCUGUAUUAUUGAAUCAAUACAUUCAUAUAUUAUUUUUAAAACAUGGUUAUAUUUUUAAGGAAAAAAACUCAAUUGAAAAAAAAUCUUAAGUGUAUUUUUACAAUUAAAAAUAAUCCUUUGAGAUUUUUCCAGGGAAUCAAUGGCAUGUUUCAUAACUGGGAAGCAGUUUGCAGGUGAGUUGUUUGUAUGUACAGCUGCUUCAAGAACCAUCAUUUUCUCAUAAAGAACCUCCUUUCUGAUAGAAGGAAUGUAUUUGUAUAGACAAAUGCAAAUACUUAGCAUUUUGAGCUGUAAGUUAUGAAUGUAAAACUUAGCAACAUUUUUGGAAAGAAAGACAAUAUUAUAGACUACUAGUUAUAUAAUUUCUGUGGGAAAAAAAAUUACUAUCUCACAGCUCUAUCUUAAUUGUCAUAUUCCUUAUUAACAGUUGAACACUCAUUUGUGGUUUGACAUCAUGUUUACAUCAGUUUUUAUAUGGUGUAGUUUGUCUAUAUAUUGACACUAGAAUCCCUGUACAGUCUAUGGAAUUGCAUGGAAGUGGCUAGCUCUUCUCAGCCGCUAGCCCUGCAUAUUUUGUAAUUUAGUAAUCUCUUUUAAACUCCUUUGAUUUUGUAUUUAGUCCAAAACCAAUCCAGCAUAUAAAGUUCUCUCCCUGUUUUUCACCUCUGCAGCACUAUGGCCAAAGAGGACAUCUAACAAUUAAUAUGUUCAAUUACAUCUGCACAAAAUUUUAAACAAUUUAGUGCAAAAUUUUUUAAUACAGCUUGUUUUUAAACAUGCUUGAGUUUUGUAUAUUUUUGUACUACAAAAUGGAGCACUGACUAGAGAUAUGUUGAAUGCUAGAAUUAGUUGGUAAGUUUGCAUGAGUUACCACAGAACUAUUUAAGGAUACUAACUCAUAGCAUAUAAACAGUAUAGUCAGGUCAGCAGGGCUGUGUUUAGCCCAGAGCUGAUACAUUUCCAAAUUCAUAACUAGCUCCUUUGUAACUAGCUCAGACAUUUCCGCACAAUACACAGCACUAGGCUGGACAUACCUGUAGGCUGUUGAACCCAUGGUAAAUCACACUUACUGAGUAACUGGCCUGAUUUUCACAUUUUCAGAGUGACUGAGCCUCUUCAAACAACACUGGAGAUUUCAAAUAAAAUUAUACAAAUUUCAAGCAUAAAUGUAGUUAAUUAAAAAUACAAAUUCUCUAUAUUAUUAAAUAAGUCUGGAAUAAAUUCUGGUGGGUGUGAGGAUGUUGCUUGCUUUAUUUUGAUUAUAAAUAGAGUAUUGUUUUUACAGCGUAAGCCAGCUAGCUCUAUUUACAAAUUCAAUAUCAAUAAGCCACAUAAGAAAUGUUAAAAUAUGGAUAAAAUAAACUAGACAAUUACCUUGUUUCUAAACUUCAGAUGCUUAGAUAGACUAUUUGCUUCUGGCUGUGUUGUUUUGGUUUUUGGUUUUGUUUUUUUUUUUGGUUUUUUUUUUUGCUUUAAGUGCUGUUUUCAUCCUAUGAAAAUUAAUUAACAUGGUUAUUUUUGAGUCCUCCAGAGACACAUCUGUGAAACUAAGUUUAAGUACUUAAGUUAGACAGACUGGCUCUGUUCCAUCCUUUCUGGGAAGAAGUAACAGGCUAUUCCUGUGAUUUAUAUUCUAGCGAUAUGAGUAAUGUUCUUUUAUUAUACAGAAAUAUUUUUUUUUAGCCAUUUAGUUUCUUUUCAUUUAGUAAUUGAAACAAUUGGGACUUAAGUACUCAAUCUGUCACUUUCGUGCUUUGGCAAAUAGUUUACAUCAUCAGAAUCAGAAAGACCAUAUAGAUGCAAGGAGAACAUUUUCAGAGACUUCAAUCCAAGGAGAUGCGAAACAGCUUUGAACAGAAUUGGCCCUUAUUUAAUCAUUCUUCAGACAAUGCUGUUGCUCUCUCAUCAAGAUGUAAUACAACAGAGCUUUACCCU